UAGGGAAUCUUCGGCAAUGGGGGGAACCCUGACCGAGCAACGCCGCGUGAGUGAAGAAGGUUUUCGGAUCGUAAAGCUCUGUUGUUAAGGAAGAACGAGUGUGAGAAUGGAAAGUUCAUGCUGUGACGGUACUUAACCAGAAAGGGACGGCUAACUACGUGCCAGCAGCCGCGGUAAUACGUAGGUCCCGAGAGUUGUCCGGAUUUAUUGGGCGUAAAGCGAGCGCAGGCGGUUAGAAAAGUCUGAAGUGAAAGGCAGUGGCUCAACCAUUGUAGGCUUUGGAAACUGUUUAACUUGAGUGCAGAAGGGGAGAGUGGAAUUCCAUGUGUAGCGGUGAAAUGCGUAGAUAUAUGGAGGAACACCGGUGGCGAAAGCGGCUCUCUGGUCUGUAACUGACGCUGAGGCUCGAAAGCGUGGGGAGCGAACAGG
RNAcentral lists this ribosomal RNA (429 nucleotides) under Bacteroidota bacterium. RNAcentral's name for it is "Bacteroidetes bacterium partial 16S ribosomal RNA". It matches the Rfam family "Bacterial small subunit ribosomal RNA", at positions 355 to 776 of the family's 1533-position model. The record is from RNAcentral. Lineage: Bacteria; Pseudomonadati; Bacteroidota.